This is a long non-coding RNA of Eriocheir sinensis (Chinese mitten crab), 1542 nucleotides long. RefSeq lists it as uncharacterized. NCBI's taxonomy places the organism in Eukaryota, Metazoa, Arthropoda, Malacostraca, Decapoda, Varunidae. The transcript is spliced from 5 exons. The record is from RefSeq and is a predicted model, not a curated record.
CAGUCGUGGGUGGCGGAGGGUGUGCUGCUCCUCUCCCCGGGCCCUGCCGCGCCUCCGUCAGCAGUGCCGGGAACGUGUCGCCGAGGAGGCUGCAGUGCAUACCUGGAGGAGCCUCGGAGACUUGGCAAGUGUGACGGAGGGCCGACAGAGGGACACAUGGAGAGACUAACUCACCGCUGUAGACGAAGAGGAGGGCGGGCAGGAAGAAGAGGAAGCCGAGGAAGCAGGUGACUGUUGCGGCCAUCUUGAGGAGGUUGAGUCGGGCCUCCACGAUGCGGGCGAAGUGGACGGCUCUCACCCACGCCCGCAGCCCCCACGCCCACCGCCGCCCCGCCCCACGCAGCACAGACGCCCGCCGAUACUUCCUGCAGCGUGUAAAGUCACUCUUCUCCGCCGAGUCGUGAGGGUGUGGGAGAGUGGGCGACCCGCGUUCUGGCGUGUCCCGAUGUGGAGUGAGAGAGCACUGAGCAGAGACCCAGGAAGACCUUCAAUCACACGUCGAGGAAAAGCUACACAAGAUGAACGCUUCCCUCCUUCACCCACCCACCCGGCACAGACAGUCGACGGAGCGGCAGCAGGAGGAACAGGUCUUUGGAAUCAUCUCCGGGGCACAAGCUCCCCACAUAGCUGAGUUAUUAUUUGUGCCCGAGUGCUACUACUUAGGAUUAUUUUUUAUUCUGCUCUCUGCAUACAGUAAUGUAAUAUAUAAACUCAUUUCCAGUGAUAAGAAAGUGGAAAGUUUUCAAAGUUAGGAAAAGGUCUAUAAAUUAUUCGCAAGUGAUUUACACUUAGUCGAAAAUACUUCAAAGACACUCCCGAUAAAAACUAGAGGCAUAUUUUUCUUAAAUUAAACUAGAAGAGUGUCCCCAAUAUAUUUGUUGAACAACCUUUCACAGUAAUAAACAGUUAGCUCGCAAAGAAUCCGCGGUUCCGGGUUCUCAAAUACCGCUUAUCACUAAAUUACAUGCGUUAUCAAGAAGGCUAAUGUGUUCUUAAUGGACCGUAUUGGCAAGCUGUACUUUCCUCCGAGAGACACGGUCGUGAUGCCGCCUUCGCUCGAAGUCGAUGAUUAUUUUUUUUUCCAUGUCAAAUUGUAGUGUCAGGAAAUUGGGUAGAAGUAAAGUGUGUGCAGUCGUUGGCUCGGGGCGGUGGCGGACACAAGGCCUUGUAUCCUGGAGGCAGACGCAGAUGCACUCCAGUAACAUAACUUGAGUUCUAUGGAAAGUACUGCUUUGACAGUUCACCGAGUGACCACGCGUGGCGCUGCCUGUAUAGCCAGUACGGUCCAUUGGUGUUCUUGCUUCUUUCAGACAGUUCGCUCUGGACCGGUGCGGUCUCAACCCGCCAAACAGGACGUGGAAACCUAAAGAACUGGCAAUCAUGAAUUUCUGCGCCCAUCUCUCCUUUUGUUCUCACAAACAAGAUCUGCACGGUAAAUUACUUGAAAAUAUACUUGAGGAGAAGUGAAAUCAUGAAGGCCAGCUCUGGAGAACGAAGCAUUACUAUAGACAGUGGAAUAACAUUCGCAACCAUUUAUAAUCA